GGGCCCGCACAAGCGGUGGAGUAUGUGGUUUAAUUCGACGCAACGCGAAGAACCUUACCUGGUCUUGACAUCCUCAGAACUUUCCAGAAAUGGAUUGGUGCCUUCGGGAACUGAGUGACAGGUGCUGCAUGGCUGUCGUCAGCUCGUGUCGUGAGAUGUUGGGUUAAGUCCCGUAACGAGCGCAACCCUUGUCCUUAUUUGCCAUCAUUUAGUUGGGCACUCUAAAGAGACUGCCGGUGAUAAGCCGGAGGAAGGUGGGGACGACGUCAAGUCCUCAUGGCCCUUACGGGAUGGGCUACACACGUGCUACAAUGGCAGUGACAAUGGGUUAAUCCCCAAAAGCUGUCUCAGUUCGGAUUGAGGUCUGAAACUCGACCUCAUGAAGUCGGAAUCGCUAGUAAUCG
This 404-nucleotide ribosomal RNA is filed under the name uncultured bacterium. RNAcentral's name for it is "bacterial SSU rRNA". It matches the Rfam family "Bacterial small subunit ribosomal RNA", at positions 917 to 1344 of the family's 1533-position model. The record is from RNAcentral.